RNAcentral lists this transfer RNA (72 nucleotides) under bacterium. Its description in RNAcentral is "tRNA-Cys". It matches the Rfam family "tRNA". Rfam says of the family: Transfer RNA (tRNA) molecules are approximately 80 nucleotides in length. Their secondary structure includes four short double-helical elements and three loops (D, anti-codon, and T loops). Further hydrogen bonds mediate the characteristic L-shaped molecular structure. tRNAs have two regions of fundamental functional importance: the anti-codon, which is responsible for specific mRNA codon recognition, and the 3' end, to which the tRNAs corresponding amino acid is attached (by aminoacyl-tRNA synthetases). tRNAs cope with the degeneracy of the genetic code in two manners: having more than one tRNA (with a specific anti-codon) for a particular amino acid; and 'wobble' base-pairing, i.e. permitting non-standard base-pairing at the 3rd anti-codon position. The record is from RNAcentral.
GGCGUCGUAGCCAAGUGGUAAGGCAAGGGUCUGCAAAACCCUUAUACGUGGGUUCGAUUCCCGCCGACGCCU